CGCAACUCAUCACCCUCUCUCCCCAACACCAUACCACCACCUCCGUUAUCGAUCUCCUCCGUUCUGUCAUGGGUUGUGGCGCUUCAGUUUUGGGUCCUGAGCACCAUCCCAACAACCCCUUCCACUACAAAGUCGCCCGACCCAUCAACGUCGAGGAGCCUCCCAAAGCCUCUCCUUCGCCCCUCAACAACGACGCCGUUUUCUCCUUCCGCUUCAUGCCGGCCGACCAUGACGAGGUCGGAGUCAAAGAGGCCAUGCAACAUGGCCCCGCAAAGCCUCCGUCCGUUAACGUUCUUCCACCCACCGUUGAGAUUGAGAGGGAUGAUGCCUUCUCCGGCGCUGCGUCCCCCAGUUUCAGGGAAUAUUGCGUCCACUCCGGAUCUUCCAGUGAUAUAGAACACUCCCACGAUGACCCUGACAUGGCCGAAACCACCGACAACAUGGGUAAUGACGAUCCAAUAUUGGUGGGCAAGAGCAAGCCAUCGAGGAAGGAAAUCACCAACCCCAAAAAGGAGUCUGAGAAGAAAGAGAGAAAAGGGAGAAGACUUAGGGAUGUUAUAAACAAGGGAAGAUCAGGUGGGAAGAAAAUUGGCAUCGUUCGCCAUAGAUCUGACAACAUAGCCGGAAGACUCACUUGAGAAGAGAAAAUGUGAAGAGCAAGUCCUUAAUUCUCAUCCAUCUGCGAGUGUCGUGGGACUAUAGAGGAAUCAGGAUUGCUUUUUAAAAUCCUGAAUAUUCUCAUAUGACAUAUCACAUACCAGUUAUGGGGGUCAGAAGAAAAGUUUAUAUACAUACAUGCUUAUUCACCUGAAUAUUCUCAUACGACAUUUAACAUACCAACAGUUAUCGAGAGAAUUACCAGACACACGUGCGUGAUCUAUAUUAUAUUCAGAACUGAUGAUACGCUAAAUUUAAACACAGCCUUAGCCUGCAAUUCGCACUUCUCUCUAC
This is an RNA transcript of Prosopis cineraria, 951 nucleotides long. RefSeq lists it as uncharacterized. NCBI's taxonomy places the organism in Eukaryota, Viridiplantae, Streptophyta, Magnoliopsida, Fabales, Fabaceae. The transcript is spliced from 4 exons. The record is from RefSeq and is a predicted model, not a curated record.